Molecule: long non-coding RNA, 3235 nt
Organism: Pan troglodytes (chimpanzee)
Lineage: Eukaryota; Metazoa; Chordata; Mammalia; Primates; Hominidae
Exons: 2
Source: RefSeq, a predicted model, not a curated record
GGUCUGAGCCUGCUGAAGUCAGUUGGUGAAGCAAAAGAAGACAGGCAGAGUAAGAUGGCAGAGAAGGACUCUCCAGCGACCAUCUUUCAAUAGAAACAUCAAUUUGAACAACUAUCCACACAUGAAACAAAUCUUCGUAAGACUCAGGAAACCAGGUGCAGGACAAAGGACAGACAGAACUCAGUCAACCCUCUGCUCACCUGAGAAAAAGUGCAUAUCUAAUUGCUUCUUUGGCCCUAUUGUUUAUGCAAGAAUGCUGAUUCAUUUGUCUAUUUUGGCUUUUGUUGCCAUUGCUUUUGGUGUUUGAGUCAUGAAGUUGUUGCCCAUGCCUAUGUCCUGAAUGAUAUUGCCUAGGUUUUCUCCUAGGGUUUUUAUGGUUUUAGGUCUUACAUUUAAGUCUUUAAUCCAUCUAGAGUUAAUUUUUGUAUAAGAUGUAAGGAAGGGAUCCAGUUUCAGCUUUCUGUAUAGGGCUAGCCAGAUUUCCCAACACCAUUUAUUAAAUAGGGAAUCCAUUGGGAUCUGAUUAAACUAAACAGCUUCUGCACAGCAGAGGAAACUAUCACCAGAAUGAACAGGCAACCUACAGAAUGGGAGAAAAUUGUUGCAAUAUAUCCAUCUGACAAAGAGCUAAUAUCCAGAAUCUACAAAGAACUUAAACAAACUUACAAGAAAAAAACAACCCCAUCAAAAAGUGGGCAAAGGAUAUGAACAGACACUUCUCAAAAUAAAACAUUUAUGCAGCCAACAAACAUAUGAAAAAAAGCUCAUCAUCACUGGUCAUUAGAGAAAUGCAAAUCAAAACCACAGUGAGAUACCAUCUUACACCAGUUAGAAUGGCGAUCAUUAAAAAGUCAGGAAACAACAGAUGCUGGUGAGGAUGUGGAGGGAUAAGAACACUUUUACACUGUUACUGGGAGUGUAAAUUAGUUCAACCAUUGUGGAAGACAGUGUGGCAAUUUCUCAAGGAUCUAGAACUAGAAAUACCAUUUGACCCAGCAAUCCUAUUUCUGGGUAUAUACCCAAAGGAUUGUAAAUCAUUCUACUAUAAAGACACAUGCACACGUAUGUUUAUUGUGGCACUGUUCACAGUAGCAAAGACUUGGAACCAACUCAAAUGCUCAUCAAUGAUAGACUGGAUAAAGAAAAUGUGGCACAGAUAUGCCAUGGAAUACUAUGCAGCCAUAAAAAGAUGAGUUCAUGUCCUGUGCAGGGACAUGGGUGAAGCUGGAAACCAUCAUCCUCAGCAAAGUAACACAAGAACAGAAAACCAAACACUGCAUGUUCUCACUCAUAAGUGGGAGUUGAACAAUGAGAACACAUGGACACAGGGAGGGGAACAUCCCACCAGAGCCUAGUGGAGGGUGGGGACUAGGGGAGGGAUAGCGUUGGGAAAAAUACCUAAUGUAGAUGAUGGUUUGAUGGUUGCAGCAAAUCACCAUGGCAUGUGUAUACCUAGGUAACAAAUCUGCACAUUCUGCACAUGUACCCCAGCACUUAAAGUAUAAUUAAAAAAGCCAAAAAGAAAUGCAGAUUCACUAGGCCUGUCCAAAGCAUAAGUCACUAUUCCUCUAUGCCACCUCAUAUGUAAAUUUUGUAUUUAAUGAAAGGCUAAUCACAGUAUUCAGUGAAAAGCUAAUGAGAGACUCAAAAGAAUACAACCAUUUGUCUCUUAUCCAACUUUCAGUUGCACUGCCUUUCAGGACAGAACAAACGUACAGCUUAUACAUAUUGAUUGAUGUCUCAUGUCUCCCUAAAAUGUAUAAAAUCAAACUAUGCUCUGACCACCUUAGGCAUGUGUCUUCAAGAUCUCCUGAGGCUGUGUCACAGGUACAUCCUUAACCUUGGCAAAAUAAACUUUCUAAACUGAUUGAGACCUGUCUCAGAUAGUUUUGAGUUUACAAAUCCAUUACCAUAAAGGAAUUCUGAGGGGAGGUUCCCUUGAUCUUUCACAAAUCUCCUAUUUGAGCUUGGUACCCGUUUUAGUUAUCCUUAUGACUCAAACCAGUAGGACAAUUUGCUGAGCCCUGGGAGCUCCCCACUUCUAGAGAAUCCCUAAUCUCUCAAAAUUGGGUUGAGAUGUAAAGUUUAUUUUGCUUUACAACUACUUUUUUAGAGUUUUAAUUCCUUCCAACAAGGAAGGCAAGUUUUCCCGCUUCCAUGAUAAUGUAGAGCAGAUAACUCCUUUCUGGAGUUUCAGUUAGUUUCCAACAGGAAAGGCAAGUUUGAAGCUUUUGUUCCCUGCUUCUAAGAUGAUAGAGAGAAGUCUUGAGCCAAGGCCUCAUUCCUAAGAGAGGUGAAGCCCACUGGGCUUCUGGGUCGGGUGGGGACUUGGAGAACUUUUCUGUCUAGCUAAAGGAUUGUAAACACACCAAUCAGCACUCUGUGUCUAGCUAAAGGUUUGUAAAUGCACCAAUCAGCACUCUGUGUCUAGCUAAAGAUUUGUAAAUGCACCAAUCAGCACUCUGUAAAAACGCACCAAUCAGAGCUCUGUGUCUAGCUAAAGGUUUGUAAAUGCACCAAUCAACACUCUGUAAAAUGGACCAAUCAGCACUCCAUAAGAUGGACCAAUCAGCAGGACAUGGGCAGGGCCAAAUAAGGGAAUAAAAGUUGGCCACCCAAGCCAGCAGUGGCAACCCGCUGGGGUCCCCUUCCAUGCCGUGGAAGCUUUGUUCUCUUGCUCUUCACAAUAAAUCUUGCUGCUGCUCACUCUUUGGGUCCACACUACCUUUAUGAGCUGUAACACUCACUGCGAAGGUCUGCAGCUUCACUCCUGAAGUCAGUGACACCACGCACCCACUGGGAGGAACAAACAACUCCCAACGCACCAACUUUAAGAGCUGUAACACUCACUGUGAAGGUCUGCGGUUUCACCCCUGAAGUCAGCGAGACCACGAACCCACAAGGAGGAACAAACCACUCUGGACGCGCCACCUUUAAGAGCUGUAACACUCACUGAGAAAGUCUGGGGCUUCACACCUGAAGUCAAGUGAGACCACAAACCCACUGGAAGGAAGAAGCUCCAGACACAUCUGAACAUCUGAAGGAACAAACUCUGGACACACCAUCUUUAAGAACUGUAACACUAACCACAAGGGUCCGUGGCUUCAUUCUUGAAGUCAGCAAGACCAAGAAUCCACCAGAAGGAACCAAUUCUGGACACACUAGCUAUGUAGCUAAAUUUGGGUUUUUGUCUUGGAAAUUCUUCUUAAAUAUUAAAAGUUAAAAUUGACAAUGA